UUCCCCUUUUUUUCUCAGCCACAUCUUCUUAACCUUUUGUCUUCUUUAUUACUCCCUUAUCUCUAUUUUCCUCCACACAGCACACAUUUCUUCACAUUUUUUCUUCUUUUAAGUUUCAACGCCUUGGAUUUUUUUGAAAAUAACUAUAAAAACCAAACUAUAUUAUUAGUUAGCCAAGGUUUGAAACUAUUUUGGUAUCUAACAAAUCGAGUGUGUUACUCUUGAUUUUGGGAUUAUAAAUCGAGUAUAUUGCACUUGAUUUUCCCAUUGCACCAGCAGCUGAGGUGGACAAACUAUCCACGUAGGCCUGUAAAUCUAGCCCAAAGGACUCGGUUUGGUAUAAAGGAAAUCGAGCCCAAAGAACUCGAUUUAGUUUUAAUGGAAACCGAGCCUACUAAACUCGAUUUCAGUUCAUCCCUCCACGUGUUAAAAUCACUCAAAACAUCACUCAAACUCAAACACACUCAACAGAUCACUUAAACACACUCAAACUCAAACACACCGAGUCCUCACAGUUUCUCACUCUUCAAACCCCCACUCUCACUCUUCAAACCUUGCGCCACUACUUAGCCUCAUCACUUUUCAAACUCUCACUCUCACUCUCACUCUUCAAACCCUCACUCUCAAUCUUCAAACCUUGCGCCACUGCUCAACCUCAUCACUCUUCAAACUCUCACUCUUCAAACCCUCACUCUUCAAACUCUCACUCUCCUUCAAACCUCGUGCCACGCCACUACUCAACCUCAUCACUCUUCAAACUCUCACUCUCAGUCUUCAAACCUCGUGCCACUACUCAACCUCAAUCUAAAGUAUGGCUGUCGUUGCUGUUAAGAUCCCUAAUGAGUUCGGUCCUGGUCCCAUGGAAGGUUCGAUGUUAAGGUUUCUAAAAGAACAUCAAUCGUGCGUUGUUUAGGAAGGUGAGGUAAAAUUAAAAUCGACCACCUAUUGAAUUUCUAUAUUCUCCUCUUAUCCUUUUACAUUAUGUUGAAUUUUUUUUCCAUUUCUAAAAUUCUAAGUUUGUCAAUGGUACUACUAGCUUUGAAUGCAUAGUCAUGCCUAUUAGUUGGGUUGAGUUAGAUUGGUUAACUGUUGCACACCCUUAGACUUGAUUUCCAUGCCUACGUGGAUAGAUUCUCCAGCUCAGAUGCUGGCACAACGCGAAAAUCAAGUACAUCAUACUUGAUUUAUAACCCAAAAUCGAGAGUAAAACACUCAAUUUGUUAGAUACCAAAUUAGUUUCAAACCUUGGCUAACUAAUAAUAUAGUUUGGCUUUUAUAGUUAUUUUCAAAAAAAAAUCCCAACGUCUCUCUCUCUCUAACUCUGUUUCACCUCCUCUAAACUACUACUUCAUCAAAGGGGAGAGAGUGAGAACUGAGAAAGAUCAAAAUGAAAGAUAGAGAGAUCUUGGCAAACCCAAAGAAAAUGAAGAACAACAAAGAUAGAGAGGUGGUCGCCGGUCAUUGAUUGAAGAUUGGAUCAGAGCAAAGCAAACGAAAGCAUAUGGUCAAUCAUAGUGUUACCCUGUUCCUCCUUACGCCUUUGCUCAUCAAUAAGUGCUUGCAAGAACUCAUUCAUCCUCUUGGAGAGACUCUUCAACUUCUUCUCCAAACCUCCAUAAUCCAUCCACCGCAAGAUGGGUAUAAACUCCAUUUGAAAGAUUUUGCUAUAUUUUGAUGUUUUUUUGUUUUGCAUUUUAAGGAAUCCUAAUUUGCAAGGGAUUGAUUUUUUUUUUUUUCCUUAGUUGAUUUGGGAAUUUGUUAUAGAUUUUUUUGUGUUUAGACUUGGAAAUUUGUUAUUGAAUUGAACCUGGACUAGACACUAUUUUU
Long non-coding RNA from Quercus robur (English oak), 1827 nucleotides. RefSeq lists it as uncharacterized. The transcript has 2 exons. The record is from RefSeq and is a predicted model, not a curated record. Lineage: Eukaryota; Viridiplantae; Streptophyta; Magnoliopsida; Fagales; Fagaceae.